AAUCAACGCUGGCGGCGUGCCUAACACAUGCAAGUCGAACGCGAAAGCCCUUUCGAGGGUGAGUAGAGUGGCGUCCGGGUGAGUAACACGUAGGUAAUCUACCUCCGGGUGGGGAAUAACGUCUCGAAAGAGACGCUAAUACCGCAUAAUGCAGCGGCACCUAAUGGUGAUUAGUUGUUAAAGCGGGGGACCCUUCGGGGCCUCGUGCCUGGAGAGGAGCCUGCGGCAGAUUAGCUAGUUGGUGAGGUAAUGGCUCACCAAGGCUUCGAUCUGUAGCUGGUCUGAGAGGACGGCCAGCCACACUGGCACUGACACACGGGCCAGACUCCUAC
This 332-nucleotide ribosomal RNA is filed under the name uncultured bacterium. RNAcentral's name for it is "bacterial SSU rRNA". It matches the Rfam family "Bacterial small subunit ribosomal RNA", at positions 32 to 342 of the family's 1533-position model. The record is from RNAcentral.